Podarcis lilfordi (Lilford's wall lizard) is the source of this 77-nucleotide non-coding RNA. Lineage: Eukaryota; Metazoa; Chordata; Lepidosauria; Squamata; Lacertidae. The record is from the annotation of a GenBank genome assembly.
GCCUUAGCUCAGUUGGUUAGAGUGUGGUGCUGAUAAUACCAGGGUUGCAGGUUUGUUUCCUGCACGGGACAGCGGCA